RNAcentral lists this ribosomal RNA (1094 nucleotides) under Capsosira brebissonii S23. RNAcentral describes it as "bacterial SSU rRNA". It matches the Rfam family "Bacterial small subunit ribosomal RNA", at positions 376 to 1484 of the family's 1533-position model. Lineage: Bacteria; Bacillati; Cyanobacteriota; Cyanophyceae; Nostocales; Capsosiraceae. The record is from RNAcentral.
CGAAAGCCUGACGGAGCAAUACCGCGUGAGGGAGGAAGGCUCUUGGGUUGUAAACCUCUUUUCUCAAGGAAUAAGAAAGUGAAGGUACUUGAGGAAUAAGCAUCGGCUAACUCCGUGCCAGCAGCCGCGGUAAUACGGAGGAUGCAAGCGUUAUCCGGAAUGAUUGGGCGUAAAGCGUCCGCAGGUGGCAUUGAAAGUCUGCUGUUAAAGAGUCUGGCUCAACCAGAUAAAGGCAAUGGAAACUACAAAGCUAGAGUGCGUUCGGGGUAGAGGGAAUUCCUGGUGUAGCGGUGAAAUGCGUAGAGAUCAGGAAGAACACCGGUGGCGAAGGCGCUCUACUAGGCCGCAACUGACACUGAGGGACGAAAGCUAGGGGAGCGAAUGGGAUUAGAUACCCCAGUAGUCCUAGCCGUAAACGAUGGAUACUAGGCGUUGCUUGUAUCGACCCGAGCAGUGCCGUAGCUAACGCGUUAAGUAUCCCGCCUGGGGAGUACGCACGCAAGUGUGAAACUCAAAGGAAUUGACGGGGGCCCGCACAAGCGGUGGAGUAUGUGGUUUAAUUCGAUGCAACGCGAAGAACCUUACCAGGGCUUGACAUGUCGCGAAUCCCGGUGAAAGCUGGGAGUGCCUUAGGGAGCGCGAACACAGGUGGUGCAUGGCUGUCGUCAGCUCGUGUCGUGAGAUGUUGGGUUAAGUCCCGCAACGAGCGCAACCCUCGUUGUUAGUUGCCAGCACUUAGGGUGGGCACUCUAACAAGACUGCCGGUGACAAACCGGAGGAAGGUGGGGAUGACGUCAAGUCAGCAUGCCCCUUACGUCCUGGGCUACACACGUACUACAAUGCGACGGACAGAGGGCAGCGAGCAUGCGAAUGCAAGCAAAUCCCGAAAACCGGCGCUCAGUUCAGAUCGAAGGCUGCAACUCGCCUUCGUGAAGGUGGAAUCGCUAGUAAUUGCAGGUCAGCAUACUGCAGUGAAUUCGUUCCCGGGCCUUGUACACACCGCCCGUCACCAUGGAAGCUGGUAGUGCCCGAAGUCGUUACCCCAACCUUUCGGGGAGGGGGAUGCCUAAGGCAGGACUGGUGACUGGGGUGAA